This 3506-nucleotide long non-coding RNA is filed under the name Triticum aestivum (bread wheat). Its description in RNAcentral is "long non-coding RNA (TAES_LNC016136)". The stretch from base 1725 to 1811 matches the Rfam family "MIR1120/MIR1122 microRNA precursor family". The record is from RNAcentral. Lineage: Eukaryota; Viridiplantae; Streptophyta; Magnoliopsida; Poales; Poaceae.
AGAUUUAAGAGAGAUCAGCGAGUCCUAAAAGCCUUCCAACUGAUGAGAGGGGAAUAAUAAUGCAUUCAUAUAAAAUAAACAAUCCAAUUUGUUGCUGGCAGGAUAAAAUCGAAGCAACAAGGUCUUCUCCAACUCAGUAAAAACCAUUUGAUAAGUAAUUUAGAUGCCAAGAAAUUUUAAUAACUGAACUGAAUCCCUUUGACUGCAGUACAUACUCGAUAUGGGCCUUUGCAUCUUGUCAGAUUUUGGCUGCUACUUCCAUUUUCUUCCUGGCACUUUUCUCUCCGACCUGUACUUUGACAAAAUCUGACUUCUUCGUGUUGUAUUCUAAUAACAUUGGGAGAUACAUUAAUCAAAUUAAUGUCCACUAUAUUUAUUUUCUUGGCAAAUUAAACUAACCUUCCUCAUUUGGAAACCGCUUCUUCCCCUGGGAAUCAUAAGUGUCAUUCUGAAUUUAAAAUGCAAAAACAGAGAAACUUAAAAUGUGAACUUAAAACACUGCAUUAACUAUCUAAGCAUUUGGGAACUUAAAAUGCAAAAACAGAGAAACAACAAGAUAGUAGAAAAACAGUGCAAGAGUAAUCUCCACAUAGCAUCAAUGCAUUUUUACGAAACACAAAUGCAUCUGGUGAAGACUGUAAUAUGCUCACCAGACCGACAUAUGUAUCUGAAUAUGCUCACAAUUUAAUCUGUAAGAGAAUCGACAUAUGACAUGCGACUUGAUCUUAUUGUUACAAAUUAGUAAGCAUCUGCCAGUGUAGAGUAGCCAUCUACUUGCAAUUUCCAAGACAUUUCUCUACAAAUAUUCAUCUGUCAGUGUAGCUGCAUCACCCCCAAAACAUUCAGGUCUAGGCAUAACCAAAAAAAAUCUUCUGUGCCGUGCAGUUUAAUAAUACUAAAAGCAAACCAGUAAGAGGAGGGAAGGAAGGUCGCAACCUGCACAGAGCAUGUCCUUGAGGCCAAAUUACGAAUGGUCCUCCUUCCCCAGCAAUCAUUUUCAGAACCAUAAACAACAGUCAAAAUCGGUUCACCAUCAGGAAUAAAGAUGAGUCGUUGUCGUGAUCGCCUUGAUGGCAAUUGAAAUAAGACUGCUCCCUUAAAGCCGAUACAGAUGGAUUGGCUCACUCAUUUCACCUGAAUAACAAACACCACAUAUUUAGAUGCAAAAAAAAAAGAUAUAAAACUCGGGUUCAUAGUUCUUCUGCUAGAAGUAAAAGUCAGUUCACCAUUAGGAUUAGACAUGAGUGGACGUUAUGAUGGCCUUGAUGGCAAAUGAAACAUACACAGCAAAUCAUCCUCCAUUGAAGCCAAUACAAAAACGACAGUCUCACGCAUUUUACCUGAACAAUGAACACAACAAAUUUAUGCACGAAGAAAUAGUUUUUUGCUACAAAUAGAUGAAUCAAAGUAAAUAAGAAUAUUUUGUCCUGUAAGGAAAAAAAACUCUAGACAAACACAACCGAAAUGUACGCACGGAAGCAUAAGAUUUCCUCGGCACAACGCACCCAAAAAAAGUUGGUGGAUGAGAAGCUACUUCCUAUAUGAACACAAAAGAAACCAAUCAUCAUGCAUUCUGAAUCUAAUUCCAAUGCAUACAAAAUGCACACUUGAUCAUUAAUCAAGUUCUUUAGGUAAAUCAGUUACUUUGAAUGAGCGUACACAUUUGAGUUAGCUUAGCUGCUCAAGGCCUGAACCAAACAGUGAUUACCACUAUUAAUCCAUACAUACUCCCUCCGUAAACUAAUAUAAGAGCGUUUAGAAUACUAAAAUAGUGAUCUAAACGCUCUUAUAUUAGUUUACAGAGGGAGUACAACAAUAAGCAUAGCUCGAGUGCUUAGCUGCGUACCACCCAUGUACAUGGUUAGAAAACUGCAAUGCUUACAAUUUUAAGGACUCCUCACCCAUAUAUAAGGAAAUGAACCUUCAGAAUGCGAUAUUACUUGUUUCUUUUCUCAGCAAAACAACUCAUGGCUUUUCUCUUGUCCUUAAAAAAUUCCCUUCCCCAGCUUCUUUUGCUGGCUUUAUAAUAGAAUAAACCACCAGAGAAUCUUAGGGAACUGUGUGUACAAUAUAACAAAUUAUAACAAAGACGGCAUUGCCUAGCAUGAUUCAGAAUCCAAACAAAAUAAUUUUGAAAUUCACCAUCCAAUGUAAAAUUUCUUAUGGUUACCACAAUGAAAACGUGUGCUUGGAGCUUGAAUUGUAUGUAUGUUGGUAUGGUACAUAACAAAUUGGUAUGGUAUGUUCAUAACAUAACACAAGAACUUGAAUUCUUAUCAAUACUGGAACGCAGCCAUGUUUACAAAUGUCGAAAUCUGAUAGGAGUAACAGGAGUACAAUAAAUGAGCGAGGAGCACACUUCUAUUAAUGUCCCAAAAAAGUGUAUAUUCUCCACAAAGCUGUGAUUUAAAAAUCUACAGCGACUGGUCCAAUUUUUUGGGUUCAAAAGUAUCAAAGAAAACAGAAGAGCGUAAGCUCUGCUACUAAGAAAGAAGUCAUGAUAUCUUCUAGCCUCUUGGGACAGUUACAGUCAUCGACUUGUAGCUUGGAAAGUUGGAACCUACAUGUUAGUCGAACCUAGAUCAAUGCAAACUCAUCAAGCACAGACCUUAUAUUCUAGUACCAGAACUGUAGAGUCUGUUAUCAACAUGUUAAACACAAGUCGCAUAUUCGGUUAAUGUUGAUAGCUAACAGAGAGGCGGCAACAGGCACAUUUAGAUACUAUGCAAAAAAAAAAAAAACAGAGCAAUCAAAGAUAGAAAAAGAAGACCUGUUUAAAAUUGCAUACAGAGCUGAAAAAAACCAAGUGAAUGGGGAUUGCAGCAAAGACCAAACUACAAAGGUUAUGGCCAAAGGAGGACACUUGCAGUGGAGAAGCAGCAGCUAUUGUUGACAGUGUCAUACAACACUUCCUAUGGUCUGAGAAUCUUCACCCGGCUUAAGAAAGCUUAACAAUAUUAAAAAGUAGAAGAGCUAAGCUGUUUUAAGCCUCAGAAAGCCGCAAAAAUAUCGUCAUUUGAAAUCUGAUGGUAAUUCCAACAUAAAGCUAAUCAUCAUAGGGUCCUAUAGUGUUCUAGAGAGAAAAAAGGGCCCUAAACAUCAUACCUUUGGGCCAAAAAAAUCAAAGAAACAGGGUGUAUCAGAGUAUAAAUGCCUUCUCAUUCACAGGAAAAUAAGCACUGUGUCAGAAGGUGUCCUAAGAUUGUUUCAAGGUUUCAUCCUCUGAUACUGACCAGAUCAACAAAAAACUGGACCAAAUGAAGAAACAUUAACUGAUUAAAAUCCUAUUCCAAAAAUUCCUAGCUAAUUAUCAGAUCAUGAAACAGAUUGUAACAUCCUGGGUGCCAACAAUCACCGAGGAAAAAAUACCUGAACUGACCAUACAUAGUCUGUGAAGCAAGAGUGAGCACGUGAUUGAUGGAGCUCCUUGGCAGCGGUGGUGGCUGCUGCUCCUGUACACACUGACAGCUCGAACACCCAGGCGUAGCCGAGAGAGCGCCGAUGCU